CUUUCCAGCAGUCCAAGAUAUUAGUCAAUGCUCGAAAGAGUGAACUAGCUACUGAAUCAAUUAAAAUUGAUAACAUAAGGGAAAAUAAUGAUAUUACCUUAUUAUUAGUGUCGUCCAAAACUGGUGCCAGAAGACUCGGUAAGGCCAGAGACACGAACGUUAAUCGUCUUAAUCAGGCGUAAAGGGUUUGUAGGCGGCUUACAAAUUUAUUUAAAUAAUAUUAAGUAAAGAAUAAAAGCUAGAAUCAAAUAGAGGAUAUAUGAAAGAAUGCUUAGAGUAGGUCUGAUAUCCUUAGAUACUAAGUAGAAUAUUAAAGGCGAAAGCUUUUUUCCAUUAAUGAUUGACGCUCAGAAACGAAGGUGAGGAUAGGAAAUAGGAUUAGAUACCCAGAAUACCCCUCUCUGUCAACGAUGAAUGGUAGUUAUUAGUAAAAAUUAUUAAUGGCAAUGUUAACACGAUAACCAUUCCGCCUUGUGAGUACAACUGCAAAGUUGAAAACAAAAAAAUUAGUCGGUUUCGGAGCAAACGAAGUGAAGCAUGUUAUUUAAUUCG
RNAcentral lists this ribosomal RNA (552 nucleotides) under Russula sp. RNAcentral describes it as "SSU rRNA". It matches the Rfam family "Bacterial small subunit ribosomal RNA", at positions 344 to 953 of the family's 1533-position model. Lineage: Eukaryota; Fungi; Basidiomycota; Agaricomycetes; Russulales; Russulaceae. The record is from RNAcentral.